GGACGAAUGGCAGCUCUCUUUCAUGAUCGAUUAGUUUCUUUGCGAAAAUCAGACUGUAAUCACCUCCAAGUAUCCCCACAACGUUGGCCGGAUCACUGAGAGCUCUACCAUGGUGGAUGACCGACGCUGGUAAGGUCUUGGCCAAUCAUAAUAUCACAGGAGAAGUGAAAGAAACCUCGUUUACAUUAAAGGCUACACCAAAUAAAAAAAUUGUGGUCCUCUUGCUCUUUUAUUUGAUAUGUAUCGUGUGCUAAUAAAGUAUGUUUAUUUUUGUUGACGAACUAAAAUACGAGAUUGAAACUAGAUUCAAUAAUCAAAAGCAGUUGUGUCUCCCUCA
Molecule: long non-coding RNA, 337 nt
Organism: Salvia splendens (bonfire salvia)
Lineage: Eukaryota; Viridiplantae; Streptophyta; Magnoliopsida; Lamiales; Lamiaceae
Exons: 2
Source: RefSeq, a predicted model, not a curated record